AGAUAUAACUUGUGGUUUAAUGUAACCAGGGAAGUUUUCGACAAACCUAUCAACUAUAGCAGUGUCAUUUCUGCUGCCGUACAGGAGAGAGAAUUUUGAAGGGCAAUAGCUUGAUCCCUCCUGGAUCUUCUCGUACUUCUUAUUUCUGUGCGGUAUCAUCUCUUUAUCCUUUGCCUCAUCAUGACUUACGAUAAUAUACAUAUAGAUUAAUGAUAUUUUAUUAAUAAAGAAUGCUGAAAGAAUCUUUCUUCCUCCAAUUAUUGCUCAAAAAUAAAGUUACCUGCACCCCACAAAAAAACAACAGCGGUG
RNAcentral lists this long non-coding RNA (309 nucleotides) under Elaeis guineensis (African oil palm). RNAcentral describes it as "long non-coding RNA (EGUI_LNC010775)". The record is from RNAcentral. Lineage: Eukaryota; Viridiplantae; Streptophyta; Magnoliopsida; Arecales; Arecaceae.